This is a long non-coding RNA of Acipenser ruthenus (sterlet), 1002 nucleotides long. RefSeq lists it as uncharacterized. The record is from RefSeq and is a predicted model, not a curated record. The transcript is spliced from 3 exons. NCBI's taxonomy places the organism in Eukaryota, Metazoa, Chordata, Actinopteri, Acipenseriformes, Acipenseridae.
AGCACAGCUUUGAAAAGUAGCUGUGGGAGCAUAGAUAUAGGGUGCGUUCACGGAGAUAAUUCUGCGCAGACUGCAGAAUCUGACCAAUUUAGCCAAUGAUCUUCUAAGAAUGAUCUCCGUGAACGCACCCAUUGGCUAAAUUGGUCAGACUCUGUACAGAAUCUGCGCAGAAUGAUCUCCGUGAACGCACCCAUUGUCAUUUGGGUAGAGAAAGAGAGACGCCAUCUUGCCUAGGUAUAAGUGCAGUCAUCUAUGAGUGCAGUUUUUAAAACCAUUUCACAUCUUCAAUUAUAUGAAUGGUUUGAUUACGUUCUUUAUCCGACAUCGACAUGCAUAUUGAUUGUGCAGCUAAACUGUGUCAAGUCGGGUUCCCGAAGACUCGUUGAGGAGAUGGCUUAGGGUUGGGUUAAGAAGUCCCCGAAGACUCGUUGAGGAGGGGGCUCACCAUUCACGGAGUUUGCAGCAGAAGCCACGGAGGGUUCUCAAGCAGAGAGACUGUGAAGUCACAGUAACAGCUCCUAAUGAGAAUGUCUCAUCCACUGUGUAUCUGAUAAAAAUGUUAUGGUUCCAGCUUUCCAGUUCCGUGGUUGUUUGUGUUCCUUUUCAUGUUCUAUGUUAUGUGCACACUGGCUUUUAAAACUUGUGCAUGUCUGCAUUUGGCUUGGUAAUUUAACAUUUCUAUUUCACAUGCACAUUUUACACAUUUACGUUUAAAGUUUACUGCACUGUUUACUUUUCUUUUUACACACCUGAAGAAGGGCUUUUAUAUAUAUAAACCGUACAUAGUUUUAAUUGUCCAUUUACAGUGUUAAAACAUAAUUGCAACUUCAUAAUGCGACAAAGUGUGUUAGAAUGUUUUAUUAAAAUGUGUUUAAAGCCAUGUACAUUGCCUUGGAUAAAGCUGUCUGCAAAAUAGCUAUAAUAAUUGUGUUCAAUUUCCUAUUACUCUUCUAUUAAAAUCUGCUACAUUUUCUUUCUCUAUUGCCUUAAAUAAAAUUUCUA